RNAcentral lists this ribosomal RNA (497 nucleotides) under uncultured bacterium. RNAcentral's name for it is "partial 16S ribosomal RNA". It matches the Rfam family "Bacterial small subunit ribosomal RNA", at positions 28 to 507 of the family's 1533-position model. The record is from RNAcentral.
GAUGAACGCUGGCGGCGUGCCUAAUACAUGCAAGUCGAGCGAACGGACGGGAAGCUUGCUUCUCUGAUGUUAGCGGCGGACGGGUGAGUAACACGUGGAUAACCUACCUAUAAGACUGGGAUAACUUCGGGAAACCGUAGCUAAUACCGGAUAAUAUUUUGAACCGCAUGGUUCAAAAGUGAAAGACGGUCUUGCUGUCACUUAUAGAUGGAUCCGCGCUGCAUUAGCUAGUUGGUAAGGUAACGGCUUACCAAGGCAACGAUGCAUAGCCGACCUGAGAGGGUGAUCGGCCACACUGGAACUGAGACACGGUCCAGACUCCUACGGGAGGCAGCAGUAGGGAAUCUUCCGCAAUGGGCGAAAGCCUGACGGAGCAACGCCGCGUGAGUGAUGAAGGUCUUCGGAUCGUAAAACUCUGUUAUUAGAGAAGAACAUAUGUGUAAGUAACUGUGCACAUCUUGACGGUACCUAAUCAGAAAGCCACGGCUAACUACGUG